GCGACCUACAGUGUUUGAGGAAUAUAGGGUAUAUGAAAAUGCCUGGGAUAACUGACCUUCCUAUCAGCAGUUUGCUAUCAACUUUUGCAAGGAACCAAGAGGCACUGCAAGGACUAUUGCAGCUCCAGUUGACUUUCAGAUGCAAGUACACAGGUUUAAACUUCCAACUUGGAGUGGCUCAGCUCUUUUUUGUAAAGAUGCUUUUGCUCUUUCAGUAGCAACAAAUCUUACAUUUUGUGACAAGCUAUUUCCAGGACAACCAGCUGUGAUAUGACAGAAAAUUACAGUUUAAGUGAGGAGGAAAGAGAAGGAGCAGAUGAUAUCUCAUAACCCUGCAAACAAAUCCUGUUGUCAUGAAAAGUAUGCCUAUUAAUAGACUAUAAAGAUGAAGAAAAACAGGUAUGAUUUACAAUUUUUAAAGGAC
This 424-nucleotide long non-coding RNA is filed under the name Anser brachyrhynchus (Pink-footed goose). Its description in RNAcentral is "lncRNA (ENSABRG00000008297.1)". Lineage: Eukaryota; Metazoa; Chordata; Aves; Anseriformes; Anatidae. The record is from RNAcentral.